RNAcentral lists this ribosomal RNA (383 nucleotides) under uncultured eukaryote. RNAcentral describes it as "SSU rRNA". It matches the Rfam family "Eukaryotic small subunit ribosomal RNA", at positions 587 to 972 of the family's 1831-position model. The record is from RNAcentral.
AGCUCCAAUAGCGUAUAUUAAAGUUGUUGCAGUUAAAAAGCUCGUAGUCGGAUUUCAGGGCAGGGCGACCGGUCUGCCGAUGGGUAUGCACUGGUCGACUUGUCCUUCCUUCUGGAGACCGUGCCUACUCUUAACUGAGCGGGGACGGGAAACAGAUCGUUUACUUUGAAAAAAUCAGAGUGUUUAAAGCAGGCCAAGAUUGCUCUUGCAUGGAUUAGCAUGGGAUAAUGAAAUAGGACUUUGGUGCUAUUUUGUUGGUUUCGAACACCGAAGUAAUGAUUAAUAGGGAUAGUCAGGGGCACUCGUAUUCCGUCGAGAGAGGUGAAAUUCUCAGACCAAUGGAAGACGAACUACUGCGAAAGCAUUUGCCAGGGAUGUUUUCA